This 601-nucleotide ribosomal RNA is filed under the name Pungitius laevis (smoothtail ninespine stickleback). RNAcentral describes it as "partial 16S ribosomal RNA". It matches the Rfam family "Bacterial large subunit ribosomal RNA", at positions 1803 to 2612 of the family's 2925-position model. The record is from RNAcentral. Lineage: Eukaryota; Metazoa; Chordata; Actinopteri; Perciformes; Gasterosteidae.
UUUAUCAAAAACAUCGCCUCUUGUAACCAAUAAAUAAGAGGUCCCGCCUGCCCUGUGACUAUAAGUUUAACGGCCGCGGUAUUUUGACCGUGCGAAGGUAGCGCAAUCACUUGUCUUUUAAAUGAAGACCUGUAUGAAUGGCAUAACGAGGGCUUAGCUGUCUCCUUUUUCCAGUCAAUGAAAUUGAUCUCCCCGUGCAGAAGCGGGGAUAAAUACAUAAGACGAGAAGACCCUAUGGAGCUUUAGACACUAAAGUGGAUCAUGUCAAUGACCCCUGAACAAAGGAUUAAACCAAGUGGAACCCACCCUGAUGUCUUUGGUUGGGGCGACCGCGGGGAACUAAAUAACCCCCAUGUGGAAUGGGAGCACCCCUCCUACAGCUGAGAGUUACAACUCUAAUAAACAGAAUUUCUGACCAAAAAGAUCCGGCAAAGCCGAUCAACGGACCUAGUUACCCUAGGGAUAACAGCGCAAUCCUCUUUUAGAGCCCAUAUCGACAAGGGGGUUUACGACCUCGAUGUUGGAUCAGGACAUCCUAAUGGUGCAGCCGCUAUUAAGGGUUCGUUUGUUCAACGAUUAAAGUCCUACGUGAUCUGAGUUC